RNAcentral lists this ribosomal RNA (204 nucleotides) under uncultured bacterium. RNAcentral describes it as "partial 16S ribosomal RNA". It matches the Rfam family "Bacterial small subunit ribosomal RNA", at positions 524 to 727 of the family's 1533-position model. The record is from RNAcentral.
UACGGAGGGUGCAAGCGUUAAUCGGAAUUACUGGGCGUAAAGCGUGCGCAGGCGGUUUUGUAAGUCUGACGUGAAAUCCCCGGGCUCAACCUGGGAAUUGCGUUGGAGACUGCAAGGCUAGAAUCUGGCAGAGGGGGGUAGAAUUCCACGUGUAGCAGUGAAAUGCGUAGAGAUGUGGAGGAACACCGAUGGCGAAGGCAGCCC